GUGGGGAAUAUUGGACAAUGGGCGAAAGCCUGAUCCAGCCAUGCCGCGUGAGUGAUGAAGGCCUUAGGGUUGUAAAGCUCUUUCAGUAGGGAAGAUAAUGACGGUACCUACAGAAGAAGCCCCGGCUAACUUCGUGCCAGCAGCCGCGGUAAUACGAAGGGGGCUAGCGUUGUUCGGAUUUACUGGGCGUAAAGCGCACGUAGGCGGAUUGGUCAGUUAUAGGUGAAAUCCUGGAGCUCAACUCCAGAACUGCCUUUAAUACUGCCAGUCUAGAGUCCAGAAGAGGUGAGUGGAACUCCUAGUGUAGAGGUGGAAUUCGUAGAUAUUAGGAAGAACACCAGUGGCGAAGGCGGCUCACUGGUCUGGUACUGACGCUGAGGUGCGAAAGCGUGGGGAGCAAACAGGAUUAGAAACCCUUGUAGUCC
This 425-nucleotide ribosomal RNA is filed under the name uncultured bacterium. RNAcentral's name for it is "partial 16S ribosomal RNA". It matches the Rfam family "Bacterial small subunit ribosomal RNA", at positions 354 to 796 of the family's 1533-position model. The record is from RNAcentral.